GAUCCUGGCUCAGGAUGAACGCUGGCGGCGUGCCUAACACAUGCAAGUCGAGCGAUUCUCUUCGGAGAAGAGCGGCGGACGGGUGAGUAACGCGUGGGUAACCUGCCCUAUACACACGGAUAACAUACCGAAAGGUAUGCUAAUACGAGAUAACAUAAGAGAUUCGCAUGGAUUUCUUAUCAAAGCUUUUGCGGUAUAGGAUGGACCCGCGUCUGAUUAGCUAGUUGGUAAGGUAACGGCUU
RNAcentral lists this ribosomal RNA (242 nucleotides) under uncultured bacterium. RNAcentral describes it as "partial 16S ribosomal RNA". It matches the Rfam family "Bacterial small subunit ribosomal RNA", at positions 15 to 266 of the family's 1533-position model. The record is from RNAcentral.